This 404-nucleotide ribosomal RNA is filed under the name uncultured bacterium. RNAcentral's name for it is "bacterial SSU rRNA". It matches the Rfam family "Bacterial small subunit ribosomal RNA", at positions 401 to 824 of the family's 1533-position model. The record is from RNAcentral.
GUGAGGAAGAAGUAUUUCGGUAUGUAAAGCUCUAUCAGCAGGAAAGAAAAUGACGGUACCUGACUAAGAAGCCCCGGCUAACUACGUGCCAGCAGCCGCGGUAAUACGUAGGGGGCAAGCGUUAUCCGGAUUUACUGGGUGUAAAGGGAGCGUAGACGGUUUUGCAAGUCUGAAGUGAAAGCCCGGGGCUUAACCCGGGACUGCUUUGGAAACUGUAGGACUAGAGUGCAGGAGAGGUAAGUGGAAUUCCUAGUGUAGCGGUGAAAUGCGUAGAUAUUAGGAGGAACACCAGUGGCGAAGGCGGCUUACUGGACUGUAACUGACGUUGAGGCUCCAAAGCGUGGGGAGCAAACAGGAUUAGAUACCCUGGUAGUCCACGCCGUAAACGAUGAUUACUAGGUGUU